Molecule: ribosomal RNA, 598 nt
Filed under: uncultured bacterium
Lineage: Bacteria
Description: bacterial SSU rRNA
Rfam family: Bacterial small subunit ribosomal RNA
Source: RNAcentral
GAAAUCCGGAUUAAUACCGCAUACGCCCUACGGGGGAAAGGUGGCCUCUUCUUGAAAGCUACCGUUAUCGGAUGAGCCUGCGUCGGAUUAGCUAGUUGGUGGGGUAAAGGCCUACCAAGGCGACGAUCCGUAGCUGGUCUGAGAGGAUGAUCAGCCACACUGGGACUGAGACACGGCCCAGACUCCUACGGGAGGCAGCAGUGGGGAAUAUUGGACAAUGGGCGCAAGCCUGAUCCAGCCAUGCCGCGUGUGUGAAGAAGGCUUUCGGGUUGUAAAGCACUUUCAGCGGGGAGGAAAGGUUUAAGGUUAAUACCCUUGAGCUGUGUCGUUACCCGCAGAAGAAGCACCGGCUAACUCCGUGCCAGCAGCCGCGGUAAUACGGAGGGUGCGAGCGUUAAUCGGAAUUACUGGGCGUAAAGCGUGCGUAGGCGGUGAUUUAAGUGGGAUGUGAAAGCCCCGGGCUCAACCUGGGAACUGCACCCCAAACUGGGUCACUAGAGUACAGCAGAGGAGUGUGGAAUUUCCUGUGUAGCGGUGGAAUGCGUAGAUAUAGGAAGGAACACCAGUGGCGAAGGCGACACUCUGGGCUGAUACUGAC